RNAcentral lists this ribosomal RNA (592 nucleotides) under uncultured bacterium. Its description in RNAcentral is "bacterial SSU rRNA". It matches the Rfam family "Bacterial small subunit ribosomal RNA", at positions 338 to 945 of the family's 1533-position model. The record is from RNAcentral.
CCUACGGGAGGCAGCAGUGGGGAAUCUUGCGCAAUGGGCGAAAGCCUGACGCAGCAACGCCGCGUGCGGGAAGAAGGCUUUCGGGCUGUAAACCGCUUUCAGCAGGAACGAAAAUGACGGUACCUGCAGAAGAAGGAGCGGCCAACUAUGUGCCAGCAGCCGCGGUGAUACAUAGGCUUCAAGCGUUGUCCGGAUUUAUUGGGCGUAAAGAGUUCGUAGGCGGUCGAGUAAGUCGGGUGUGAAAAUUCUGGGCUCAACCCAGAGACGCCACCCGAUACUGCUUGACUUGAGUUCGAUAGGGGAGUGGGGAAUUCCUAGUGUAGCGGUGAAAUGCGCAGAUAUUAGGAGGAACACCGGUGGCGAAGGCGCCACUCUGGAUCGAUACUGACGCUGAGGAACGAAAGCAUGGGUAGCAAACAGGAUUAGAUACCCUGGUAGUCCAUGCCGUAAACGGUGGGCACUAGGUGUGGGUUUCUAUUAACGAAAUCCGCGCCGUCGCUAACGCAUUAAGUGCCCCGCCUGGGGAGUACGGUCGCAAGACUAAAACUCAAAUGAAUUGACGGCNGAGAGNGCGAGACGACGACGAGGAGAG